AUUUAAGUAAUUUAAUUAUAAAAUAUUAGUUUGUGGAACUAAAAAUGUAAGGUUUACCUUAGAUA
This 65-nucleotide transfer RNA is filed under the name Scirtidae sp. GENSP02. RNAcentral describes it as "tRNA-His". Lineage: Eukaryota; Metazoa; Arthropoda; Insecta; Coleoptera; Scirtidae. The record is from RNAcentral.